RNA transcript from Myzus persicae (green peach aphid), 2979 nucleotides. It is a transcript of the gene named sorting nexin-14-like, with no coding region annotated. The record is from RefSeq and is a predicted model, not a curated record. The transcript has 9 exons. NCBI's taxonomy places the organism in Eukaryota, Metazoa, Arthropoda, Insecta, Hemiptera, Aphididae.
AUGAAAGACAUCCUCGACCUGUUGACAGAUGACAGGAUUGUUUACUAUGGCUUAGUGGCCAUUAGCUGUGUACUUCUGUUCAAUUUGUUUGUAUGGGGAUGUUUGAGUUUCAUCAUUAUUAUUAUUGCGAUCGGUUGUGGAUAUUACAUGUUUGAUUAUGCCUUUAAGAACCAAAAUUUAAAUACCACCCCUGGAUCAGAGAAUAUAUUUGAUAAGACUAAAAUAUUUAAGUGUAAUAAUUGCAAAAACUGUAUUUCAUGUGACAUACAUUUAAAAUGUCUAAAUCAAGAAACACCAUGGAAAGGAUUAUUAAUACCAGAACAAAUUGAUUCUUCAAUAGAUAAAUUAUUAUCAAAAAUUAUAAAGGUAUAUAUAGAAAGUUGGUAUAAUAAUAUUUCAAACGAUCCACAUUUUAUAAAAGAAAUUAAGCAAGUUAUACGAUUUGCAACAAGUGCAUUGCUUAAAAGAUUAUUACAAUUGAAUUUAGAAGGUAUUGUGCUGCAUAAAGUAAUUCCAAUAUGUUUAUCUCAUAUAAGGCACUGCCAAAAAAUGGAAAAGGGUGAAAAAAUUGCAUAUCAUUAUGCCAUCAGUAAUCGUAAAGUUGAGAUUAUGUACCUUAAAAAAGUAUCUUCAAGUUUACUGCCAUUCAUAAUUCGACAAACUGAUCUUCAGUGCGCGAUAUUUUAUACUUUACUGCGAGAACUUCUUUCACUUUGGGUAUUGUUGCCAAUAUCUGAUGUAAUAUGUAACCCAACCAACAUUGCUUUUACUUGGUCAAAAUUAUCCAAAUCAUCAAUUAUUUCAACAACUACGACAUGUAAAGAUGAACAAGUUGAAUUUUUAUCAAAGUUUAUAGCUGAAAAUCAAAAUGAUCCUGUACAACUUGAAAUGCGUAGUAUAUUUAAAGAUUCGACUAUAUUAUCAGCAUUUACAGUUUUUUUGAAACGAAAAGGUGCUGUACAUUUGCUACAAUUUUGUUUAGAUGUUGAUCAGUUUAACAAGCGCAUGUUAAGACCUGAAAUAUCAUCUCAAGAACUUGACAUGCUCUAUCGAGAUGCUUGGGAUAUAUUUUCUGUGUAUUUUAGUUCUCAUUCACCAGAUUGUAUAAGUUUUGAUCCUGAGUUGGUAAGUCAGCUAAGAAAAGUUUUAUCCAAGGAUGUUAUUAAACUCCAAAAUUCAAAGCCACUGUAUCAAGCUUACGAACAAACUUAUUCUAUCUUACAAAAUAGUUACUGGAUAGAGUUUCAUAAUUCUGAUGAAUAUUUUUCUUGGAUAUGUGGACCACGCAAUGUUCCAGAGACUGAUUCAUCACAAGAAUCAUUGUCAAAUAAUGAAAAAAAAAAUCAUGCUUCUAAGCUUAGUCGCAAAUUAAAUAGGCUUAAAGGAGCUAUGAAGUCAAGUACAAUAUAUGAUGGUCAAUUUGAUUCUUUAUCUUCUGAAUGUGAUCCAGAGUAUGGAGAAGAUCUAUCUAUUGAUAAUGAAAUCAUUAAUAGUGAAAGAGAUUUAAGCACAUGGAAGGUAACUGAUGUAACAUCAGCUAUGAAGUUAGAAUCUGGAUCCAACGGUGGUCAAUCAUUAGUAUUUUUCAUUACAGUAGAGACAAUUAAAAAUGAUUCAAUUAAACAAUGGUGUGUAGAAAGAAGACUUGCUGACUUUUACACCUUAAAAUCAAAACUCACUGAAUUUCAUGGAGUAUUUGUGGAUGCUCGAUUACCUUCAAGAAGAAUUUUAUUACAAAAAACAGAAAAUAAUGACAUAUAUUUGCAAUUUCUCAAUCAACUGUUACAGAAACCUGAGCUUAGGGGAUCUGACUUAUUGCAUAUGUUUUUAACCUCCAUAGACAAUUUUGAAGAUUCAGAAUCAGCCAUUGGAAGAUUGUUAAGGAAAUCUAUGCCAAUGGCUUUAAGAAAAGAAAGGGGACAAAAUUUAGAAUCAUUCAUUUCUGUUUUUAUGGCUUCGAUUGAAACUAAAUUAAAACAAAGGUAUGAGUGGAAAGAUUUAAGUGAACAUCCUCCUGAAAGAAAAUUUAAAAUUGCUGAGAAUCCGAUUUUUGGUAAUAACUUAAAUAUAAUUAAAGAUGAAACCCAAUCAACAUUAGAAGAAAUAUCAGAUCAAAUACAAUUUCCCUGUACUCCAAUUAACUGCAUCAUUUUUUUUGGAGUUUAUGUGUACAAUAUGUCAAAUGCUGUUGUCCGAUUAAUUUUGGCAGUACAAUCAAUAUGUGGUAAUAUUAUUGAUUCUAUUAUACAGCGCUACAUCAGUCUUCGUAUUGUAAGAUCAAUAACACCUUCCAAAAUUUCAACCUUAAUCGAACUGUUAGAAAAUCUUCUAUUUCCCGGUGAUGAUGCGCCAAAAAAGACUGAUCAUCAAAUUUCAGUUGAACAUUUAAAACUAUUGAAUAAUUCAGUUUUUUUUCCACUGUAUAUGUGUUUGUUUCAAUGUACACAAAAUUCAGUGAUGAAUAAACAAUUAUUCUACAGGCUUUUAGAUGUUUUACUAGCAGAAAUGUUUCCAGAACUACGAACACAACUUAACGAACAAUUAUGAUGAUGAAACUUCAUUGCUGUGAUAAUAUUGAGUGAUACAUUCCUUAAUGUCAAAAUAAGUUUGUUCAAUUAAAGUACUGUUUUCAAAUUGCAACUAGUCGUCGCAGCUCGUCACUGCGGCCAUUCACAGCUUAGAAAUCAUACGUUUAGUCAAAUAUUAGUCUUGAAUAAUUGUAUUAAAUACUAUAAAUUCAUAUUUAUAUGUAUUACAUACUCUAAGUUAUAGAACAAUUUUGACAAAAUAUAUUAAAACACAAUAUUAACUUUAGAAAAAAAACUUAACCAAUAAAACAUAAAUAUGUAUUAAUAUAUUUUUUUACUGCUCACAAUAUUACUAAGAUGUGUAUUAUAGAAUAAAAUAUCUUUUUAAAUAAGUAUUUCUUACGUAAAAUAUAAACCAUGAUUUUGGACAUAUCUAAAAUGUGAAAAAUAU